RNAcentral lists this ribosomal RNA (405 nucleotides) under uncultured bacterium. RNAcentral's name for it is "bacterial SSU rRNA". It matches the Rfam family "Bacterial small subunit ribosomal RNA", at positions 355 to 774 of the family's 1533-position model. The record is from RNAcentral.
UGGGGAAUUUUACGCAAUGGGGGAAACCCUGACGUAGCGACACCGCGUGAGCGAAGAAGCCUUUUGGGGUGUAAAGCUCUGUCAGCUGGAACGAACACAAUGACGGUACCAGCAGAGGAAGCAUCGGCUAACUACGUGCCAGCAGCCGCGGUAAGACGUAGGAUGCAAUCGUCGUCCGGAUUCAUUGGGCGUAAAGAGUUCAUAGGUGGUCUGUUAAGUUUGGUGUUAAAGAGCGGGGCCCAACCCCGAUAGUGCACUGAAUACUGGCAGACUUGAGUGCGGUAGAGGUAAGUGGAAUUCCAAGUGUAGCGGUGAAAUGCAUAGAUAUUUGGAAGAACACCGGUGGCGUAAGCGACUUACUGGGCCGUAACUGACACUGAGGAACGAAAGCCGGGGUAGCGAAUG